RNAcentral lists this unclassified non-coding RNA (209 nucleotides) under Hevea brasiliensis (rubber tree). The record is from RNAcentral. Lineage: Eukaryota; Viridiplantae; Streptophyta; Magnoliopsida; Malpighiales; Euphorbiaceae.
GAACUUCAGCUACAAAUGGACCUAAUUUUACACACUACCAAUCUUUGAACUACACAAGUCUCCACCAAAAAAAUUACCAAAACUUAUUUCAAGAUAAAAGAAUAGUGAAAUCUUAUAUCAACGUCAACGUCAAGAUCAUCGGAGGAGAGCUCGUAGCAGGUAUCGUUAACUACUGUAAAUCGGAUGCUGUCAUCUUAACCAGCAACUCU